RNAcentral lists this ribosomal RNA (376 nucleotides) under uncultured bacterium. RNAcentral's name for it is "bacterial SSU rRNA". It matches the Rfam family "Bacterial small subunit ribosomal RNA", at positions 524 to 898 of the family's 1533-position model. The record is from RNAcentral.
UACGGGGGGGGCAAGCGUUGUUCGGAAUUACUGGGCGUAAAGGGCUCGUAGGCGGCCAUCUAAGUCGGACGUGAAAUCCCUCGGCUUAACCGGGGAACUGCGUCCGAUACUGGAGGGCUCGAGUGUGGGAGAGGGAUGCGGAAUUCCAGGUGUAGCGGUGAAAUGCGUAGAUAUCUGGAGGAACACCGGUGGCGAAGGCGGCAUCCUGGACCAUUACUGACGCUGAGGAGCGAAAGCCAGGGGAGCAAACGGGAUUAGAUACCCCGGUAGUCCUGGCCCUAAACGAUGAAUGCUUGGUGUGGCGGGUAUCGAUCCCUGCCGUGCCGAAGCUAACGCAUUAAGCAUUCCGCCUGGGGAGUACGGUCGCAAGGCUGAA